Long non-coding RNA from Myxocyprinus asiaticus (Chinese sucker), 1368 nucleotides. RefSeq lists it as uncharacterized. NCBI's taxonomy places the organism in Eukaryota, Metazoa, Chordata, Actinopteri, Cypriniformes, Catostomidae. The record is from RefSeq and is a predicted model, not a curated record. The transcript is spliced from 4 exons.
UGCUGCUCUCCGGUGCAACCUCGUGGCAUAAGGAAGUAAUGUCCAUCUUGAAACUGUAGCCAUACAAUCUCCAUCUCGCUGGACGAGUUGAGAUUACUCUGUGUUCAACCGAACACUCUAACAGAUCCGAAGGAGACCGCCGAGCAAUUCGCAUCUUCAUCCGUUGGCCUACAGAAGUGAAGAGAUUAAAGAUUUCUCUUCCAUCUUCAAUCAAGUCGACAUUUCUGAGUUCUCCGCCAGCCCGCCGAGAAUCAACAGCCGUACCGCCCGCUGACAAUCAACAGCUGUACCGCCCGCCGACAGAGCGAGGAAACGGCCUCCCGUCAUCACCCGAGCCUCAAGGAACAGGGUCAAAGUUAAAGGACGGAGGAAAACACAUUCUACCUGUGUCCUCAUGCGAUUCAACUGACUCUCUGAAGCUCACUUUCACAAAGGCCAGAUGGAGGUUCACCCAACAGUAUCUGAUGUCACCAAGACAGUCUGCCACAGGGAAGCAAUGACACCCAAGUAUGUCUGUUUGAGUGCCUGCACUGGUGUUACUGCUUAACACAGAUGGCAAGAGUGGAACCGCAUUAUGCCUGUGGAAAAUUACAACCUCUGCAAGCCUCGUUGGGCGCCAUUGUCACAUUCUCCCGGCAGAGACUGUGAUCCUAUAAGAGCCUUUCUGCCUCCCAGACGCUGACUUUCUGGUGGCUGAUUGACAAGAAAAGAAGGGAUGACUUGACUCAAUGAAGCAUAACAAGGGUAAUCUUCCAGCUUUAGAGGGAUGCUGGCUGGAGCAUAGUUCUGUAAAAUGUAGAGAAUAUGAUGAGUGAAAUCCACUGGGACCUCUGUGAUGUUAUCCGAGCCACUUGCAGUGUUCCUUUUGAACCCAUACUUCAGAAAAGUUGCAGGAACAGCAAGUCCAGCCAAACUGAAAUGCACCUAGGUUUUAAUUAUGUGACAUGUGAGUAGACUUGUUAAGGAGGUUUAUUUGCUCUUUAUUUGAAAUAUUUUUUUGUUGGUUGAUGUUAGGAUUGUUCAUUUUAUGAUUAAAGAGACUCCCAACUUUUAUGCUCUUUGAUGAGUAGCUUUGAAUAGUGAGACUCCUUAAGCCUCUGUGGAGUGGUAUUAUUCACCGGUUUCUGCAAUAAUUGGCUUUCCACAGUAUUAUAUUUGCAUUAGAUUUAUAAUCUGCUUGUAUUUACUUCCAAAUAUGUGUCUUGGUAUUUGUUUUUAAAACACCAAAUGUCAAUGUCCAAAACAAAUACAUAAACAAAUUCCAAACAAAAUGACGCAGUAAUCUAUGAGAAAUAACAGAUCACUGCCUUGCUUAUUCAUUUAUGGCAGAUCUGACACAGCGUCAAACAUGUCAGAACCGCCUCUGAU